RNAcentral lists this ribosomal RNA (631 nucleotides) under Alternaria sp. 4 MM-2016. RNAcentral's name for it is "eukaryotic LSU rRNA". The stretch from base 221 to 374 matches the Rfam family "5.8S ribosomal RNA". Lineage: Eukaryota; Fungi; Ascomycota; Dothideomycetes; Pleosporales; Pleosporaceae. The record is from RNAcentral.
GGGAAGUAAAAGUCGUAACAAGGUCUCCGUAGGUGAACCUGCGGAGGGAUCAUUACACAAAUAUGAAGGCGGGCUGGAACCUCUCGGGGUUACAGCCUUGCUGAAUUAUUCACCCUUGUCUUUUGCGUACUUCUUGUUUCCUUGGUGGGUUCGCCCACCACUAGGACAAACAUAAACCUUUUGUAAUUGCAAUCAGCGUCAGUAACAAAUUAAUAAUUACAACUUUCAACAACGGAUCUCUUGGUUCUGGCAUCGAUGAAGAACGCAGCGAAAUGCGAUAAGUAGUGUGAAUUGCAGAAUUCAGUGAAUCAUCGAAUCUUUGAACGCACAUUGCGCCCUUUGGUAUUCCAAAGGGCAUGCCUGUUCGAGCGUCAUUUGUACCCUCAAGCUUUGCUUGGUGUUGGGCGUCUUGUCUCUAGCUUUGCUGGAGACUCGCCUUAAAGUAAUUGGCAGCCGGCCUACUGGUUUCGGAGCGCAGCACAAGUCGCACUCUCUAUCAGCAAAGGUCUAGCAUCCAUUAAGCCUUUUUUUCAACUUUUGACCUCGGAUCAGGUAGGGAUACCCGCUGAACUUAAGCAUAUCAAUAAGCGGAGGAAAAGAAACCAACAGGGAUUGCCCUAGUAACGGCGAA